RNAcentral lists this small nuclear RNA (162 nucleotides) under Onthophagus taurus. RNAcentral's name for it is "U1 spliceosomal RNA". It matches the Rfam family "U1 spliceosomal RNA". From Rfam's summary of the family: U1 is a small nuclear RNA (snRNA) component of the spliceosome (involved in pre-mRNA splicing). The record is from RNAcentral. Lineage: Eukaryota; Metazoa; Arthropoda; Insecta; Coleoptera; Scarabaeidae.
AAACUUACCUGGCUGGGGGGCUUUCGUGAUCAAGAAGACGGAACCCCUAUGGUGAGGCGGCUCCAUUGCACUUUCGGAGACGCUGACCUGUAUGGCAGGUCCGAGUUGGGCUUGGCCAACAGCUACAUUUUUGAGUGAGGGUCUGCGUUCGCGCGGACCCAA